Molecule: unclassified non-coding RNA, 525 nt
Filed under: Hevea brasiliensis (rubber tree)
Lineage: Eukaryota; Viridiplantae; Streptophyta; Magnoliopsida; Malpighiales; Euphorbiaceae
Source: RNAcentral
UAAAGGCUUAGUUGAGUUGAGUUCUAUUGUUUGGAACAAUUGAUAAAUGAAGUGAAUGUACUAAUUUGUGUAUUUCAUCCUUACUGAAUUCUUGCAAGAUCACUUGACAUGAAUUCAUUUCCUUCAAAAUGACUUACUAAAAAUUGAAUUCUAGAAAUUGUAAACUUUCCAAACAUGAGAAUUGAUCAAAUAGAAUAGAAAAUGUUUCAUCUUUAGGCUUUGCGAACACACACAUUGCAUGUAUUACUUGAAUGUAAGGGACAUUAAGUCCCAACAGAAUAGGUACAGUACAUGAAAAGGGUAAGGCAUGAAUUCUCUAUUCAAGAAACAAUAAUUAAAAAUAAAAUAAAAGAGGAAGUUCUAAAGACAAAGUAACCCACUUUGAUAUUGUUCACCUGUCCUCAUGCAACUUCGGUGAAGAAUUGCAAUAGCAUACUAAGCUUUGUUAAUAAACUUUCCAAUCUUUUGAUUUUAGAGUUAAUAAACUUCCUAAUCUAAUAAUCCAAAAAAAAAGUAAAAAAAAAA